RNAcentral lists this non-coding RNA (21 nucleotides) under Caenorhabditis elegans. Lineage: Eukaryota; Metazoa; Nematoda; Chromadorea; Rhabditida; Rhabditidae. The record is from RNAcentral.
UUCCUGCGAAUAUCGACAACC